This is a small nuclear RNA of Ailuropoda melanoleuca (giant panda), 102 nucleotides long. NCBI's taxonomy places the organism in Eukaryota, Metazoa, Chordata, Mammalia, Carnivora, Ursidae. The record is from Ensembl.
CUACUUGCUUCAGCAGUACAAAUACUGAAAUUGGAAUGAUACAGAGAUUAGCAUGGUCCCUGUGCAAGGAUGACACAGAUGCGUGAAGUGUUCCAUAUUUUU